CUUUAUACAUCUAAGUGAAUAGGGGAUAAAGGGAAUAUUGGUGUUGACUUUUGAGAUUGAUCCUGACUGUCAAAAGAAAUUAGAAGUACUGCUACGCAAUUAGGAAAGUAAGAAAUAUGGAUGGAACUCAAAGAAUGCCCUGAGAUGCUUCUGGGUACUAAUGUGUUCAUUGAUAAAAUUAACUGGGAGACCACAGCAUCUGUGUAGAAAAGACAACCAAAGGUUAAGAUUCGUCAAGAAUGAAUGUUUGGGACACUCCAUCAGGACAUGUUGGUGCUGAACAACUUUUCAAUUUGGCCCAUAGGAUUAAAACGGAUUACAAAUUAACUAGAAGAAAAAUGAGCUUGUCGAUGUAGUGAUG
This 361-nucleotide long non-coding RNA is filed under the name Homo sapiens (human). RNAcentral describes it as "HSALNT0079164". The record is from RNAcentral. Lineage: Eukaryota; Metazoa; Chordata; Mammalia; Primates; Hominidae.